Molecule: long non-coding RNA, 208 nt
Filed under: Phoenix dactylifera (date palm)
Lineage: Eukaryota; Viridiplantae; Streptophyta; Magnoliopsida; Arecales; Arecaceae
Description: long non-coding RNA (PDAC_LNC018532)
Source: RNAcentral
UACGAUUGCACUUAGCACGUGCAACAAGCCUUUAAACCCCUAGGUUACCCUAGUGGACGAGUGUUGUCUCGUGAGGGUUUGCAGUGAAGUUACCCACAAACUUCAAUCCCAAAAUAAAAUUUAUUUUAUGAAAUGAAAGUCUAAUUUCAAGUACAUAACUGAUAAGAAUUUCAAAAGCACACAAGGUUUUAAUUACUAAGUAGCCCAA